This is a long non-coding RNA of Pezoporus flaviventris, 238 nucleotides long. RefSeq lists it as uncharacterized. The transcript is spliced from 2 exons. The record is from RefSeq and is a predicted model, not a curated record. NCBI's taxonomy places the organism in Eukaryota, Metazoa, Chordata, Aves, Psittaciformes, Psittacidae.
GUGCCCAGGCAGGUUUGUGACCUACAUUGAUAUCCAGGCUUCCUACAGAUACAAACCCGAUCAGUGGAAUUACUUGAAGCAGUUCUGCAGACCUGGUUUUAAGAGUCCUCACAAGUCUGUUGCUCAAGCCCUACGUGAUGAAGAUUGUCCUUUGAUGAUCAUUCCAAGCAGGCCUUGUGAGUGGUUCUAUUUCUUACACACAUCUUAGCAGACUGUAAGCGUUCACAUGAAAUCACAA